AUUACCGCGGCUGCUGGCACGUAGUUAGCCGGUGCUUAUUCUGCAGGUACCGUCAUCCACACAGGGUAUUAACCCAUGCGAUUUCUUUCCUGCCAAAAGUGCUUUACAACCCGAAGGCCUUCAUCGCACACGCGGGAUGGCUGGAUCAGGGUUGCCCCCAUUGUCCAAAAUUCCCCACUGCUGCCUCCCGUAGG
RNAcentral lists this ribosomal RNA (194 nucleotides) under uncultured bacterium. Its description in RNAcentral is "partial 16S ribosomal RNA". The record is from RNAcentral.